UACGUAGGGGGCAAGCGUUGUCCGGAUUUAUUGGGCGUAAAGAGCGUGUAGGCGGCUUUACAGGUCCGUUGUGAAAACUCGAGGCUCAACCUCGAGACGCCGGUGGAAACCGUAAAGCUAGAGUCCGGAAGAGGAGAGUGGAAUUCCUGGUGUAGCGGUGAAAUGCGCAGAUAUCAGGAAGAACACCCGUGGCGAAGGCGGCUCUCUGGGCCGAUACUGACGCUGAGGAGCGAAAGCGUGGGGAGCGAACAGG
This 253-nucleotide ribosomal RNA is filed under the name uncultured bacterium. RNAcentral's name for it is "partial 16S ribosomal RNA". It matches the Rfam family "Bacterial small subunit ribosomal RNA", at positions 524 to 776 of the family's 1533-position model. The record is from RNAcentral.